UAGGGAAUAUUGCGCAAUGGACGAAAGUCUGACGCAGCAAUACCGCGUGGGUGAGGACGGUCUUCGGAUUGUAAAGCCCUGUCGAGGUGGAAAAAUGGCCAUUGAUCUAAUAGGUCAGUGGAUUGAUGGUACACCUGAAGGAAGCACCGGCUAACUUCGUGCCAGCAGCCGCGGUAAUACGAAGGGUGCGAGCGUUGUUCGGAUUUAUUGGGCGUAAAGCGCACGUAGGCGGAUUAAUAAGCCAGAUGUGAAAUCUCGGGGCUCAACCUCGAAACUGCGUCUGGAACUGUCAAUCUUGAAUAUUGGAGAGGGAAGGGGAAUUUCUCAUGUAGGGGUAAAAUCCGUAGAGAUGAGAAGGAACACCGGAGGCGAAAGCGCCUUCCUGGACAAUUAUUGACGCUAAGGUGCGAGAGCGUGGGGAGCAAACAGG
This 430-nucleotide ribosomal RNA is filed under the name uncultured bacterium. Its description in RNAcentral is "bacterial SSU rRNA". It matches the Rfam family "Bacterial small subunit ribosomal RNA", at positions 355 to 776 of the family's 1533-position model. The record is from RNAcentral.